AUGUCCUCCAAAUGGCGCGCCAUCCAGCACCGCCACAAGUACACCUACAACACCGUCGUCUUCCCCGCCUCCUACACCGCCUCGCUGACGUCACUCCCUCCCGAAAUCUCCUCCGCCUCCUCCAAAUUCUUCUCCCAACUCCUCCACCUCGUCUCCCUCAACUCCACCUACGCCCAGCUCAACCACGCCAAGACCCUCUCCUCCUCCUUCGCCGACUUACUCUCCGCCGCCGACGAAUCCCUCGUCUCCGAAGCGGCGCCGUUUUACCUCGAGCUUCUCUUCCUCGAAAACUCGCUCCCCUUGCACAAGACUCUGGUCUCUGCUCUGGCCAAGGCGAGGAAUUUCCAGCCUCUGAUCGGAAAAUGCUUCCGGCGGCUCUGCGAGGACUACGGCGGCGGGAAGGGGAACCGGUUCUGCGUCUCGCGGGCGGCGCUGUCGGUGAUGGGGAUGCCGAAGCUGGGGUUUCUGGUGGAGGUCGUGGAGGAAUGUGCGGUGGUGAUUGCUUUGGACGCCGUUUCGAGCUUGGAUUCUCUGGUUUCGGAGACGAAAGCCGCGGCGAGGCCCUCGCCGAUUGUGAUGGAGCAAUGCCAGGAGGCUCUGUCUUGCUUGUAUUACCUGUUUCAGAGAUUUGCUGCUAAGUUUGGUUGCGGCGGCGGAGAGGUUUUGGAGAUGAGUGUGGUUGUGAUUAUGAGCAUUUUGAAGUCGGUGGCGUUUUCGAGGGACUGUUAUGUGGCUGCUGGCGUGAGCUUCUGUGCAGCAAUGCAAGUGUGUCUUAGUGCUGAGGAGCUUGGCUGGUUUAUAAUUGAAGGUAUUUUUCGUCGAAAUUUGGAUUCUAAUUGUGAGAGUGAGUUAAAGAAUGCUAUUGCUAAAGUUCCGUAUAAAGGGGAUGUGUACUCUGAAAUUGGAUGUUUAUGUGAUAUGAGUAGGCUUUGCUUGAUAAGAGGGAUUCUUACUGCGGUGUCGAGAACGGUGCUUAAUACCCGGUUUGAUAUGUCCAGGGGUAAUGAGGGUGAUCAUGUUAAGUCUAUACUGUAUGAUGGAAUUUUGCCUGAACUGUGUAACUACUGCGAGAACCCUACAGAUAGCCAUUUUAACUUUCAUGCGUUGACUGUGUUGCAGAUUUGCUUGCAGCAAAUAAAAUCCUCGAUGUUAGCUAAUCUUACAAUCCCAUCUGAGGAUUAUGAUCCAAUCCCAGUGGAAAUGGGGGCCCGAAUAUUGAGAAUUGCAUGGAAUAAUCUGGAAGAUCCUUUGAGUCAAACAGUUAAACAAGCUCAUCUUAUUUUUGAUCUCUUCCUAGACAUUCGUUCCACCCUUUGUUGGUCAGAAGGUAGUGAGAGAAUAAGGUCAUUCUUGCAAAAUAUUGCUUCUGAUCUUCUUCGUCUGGGUCCUCGUUGCAAGGGGAGGUAUGUUCCUUUAGCAUCAUUGACCAAGCGAUUGGGUGCAAAAACUAUGUUGGAUAUGAGUCCUGAGCUGAUGUCUGAGAUUGUACAUGCCUAUGUUGAUGAUGAUGUCUGCUGUGCUGUCACAUCGUUUUUGAAGUGUUUUCUUGAGCACUUGCGUGACGAGUGUUGGAGCAGCCAUGGUAUUGAAGGUGGUUAUGCACUUUAUAGAGGGCAUUGUUUGCCCCUGUUAUUGUAUGGACUUUCUUCUGGGGUUUCAAAACUCCGCUCUAAUUUGAACACUUACGCUCUUCCUAUUUUACUUGAAGUGGAUGAGGACAGCUUAUUUUCCAUGCUGGCUUUUAUUUCUGUUGGUCCAAGUAAGGGUGAAGAUCAACUGUUAUAUCCUGAGGUCUUUUGUGAAAACAUAGUAUUGAGGGUUGAACAAAAGGUGGCAAUCUUAGUUUCAUUGCUCAAGGUUUCUCGUUUGCUUGCUUUGAUUGAAGGGGACAUUGAUUGGUGUGAAGAUUCUGAUCAAUAUGCUCUUGUUUGUAUCAAGGGGAUAAAAAUUGAAGUGGUUGUCAAGUGGCUAGUGCUUGCGUUGACCCAUGUCGAUGAGUCAUUACGUGUGGAUGCUGCAGAGACUCUUUUCUUGAACCCCAAGACAGCUAGUUUGCCUUCCCAUUUAGAGCUCAUGUUGUUAAAGGAAGCAGUCCCACUGAACAUGAGAUGUUGCUCUACAGGUUUUCAAAUGAAGUGGAGUAGCUUGUUUAGAAAGUUUUUCUCUCGGGUGCGAACAGCCUUGGAGAGACAAUUCAAGCAGGGAAGUUGGCAACCGAUUGAGGAUAACAACAGCACCAACAGAGCAAGUGUUCUUUUUCAUUUCAUGAGGUGGUUAAGUUCAUUUCUAUUUUACUCAUGUUAUCCUUCUGCCCCUUAUCAGAGAAAAAUAAUGGCCACACAGCUCAUUCUGAUAAUGCUUAGUGUUUGGUCAAUUGUGCCUGCUACUGAAGAAAAAAAUGGCUCUGUAUCUUUAGAAGGCUGUCUCUAUCCUUACAAUAAAGGAACCACUUCACCUGAUUCAACUUUGUUGUUAGUUGGAUCAAUAAUUGAUAGUUGGGACAGGCUGAGAGAGAGUUUCUUUCGUAUACUGUUGCACUUUCCAAAUCCACUUCCUGGAAUUUCAGAUGAUGAUAUGGUCCAGAAUGUGGUUUCAUGGGCUAAGAAAUUAGUUUGCAGUCCGCGUGUGAGAGAAAGUGAUGCUGGAGCUCUGGCAUUAAGGCUAAUUUUCAGGAAGUAUGUCUUACAGCUAGGAUGGAUAGUUCAAGCUUCAGUUAGUGGAGCUUGCAUUCGAUCAGAGUCUGGAUUGGAAAAUGGUGAUUGUCAGACUUAUAAUUGUAGGCACCCUGUGAUAGAAUAUAUUAGGUCACUGAUUGAUUGGUUGGAUGUUUCCAUAGUGGAAGGGGAGAGGGAUCUUUCAGAAGCCUGCAAAAGCAGCUUCGUCCAUGGAGUAUUACUCACACUGCGAUAUACUUUUGAGGAGUUAGACUUCAGCAAUGAUGGAGUACUGUCUAGUAUUUCAGAGAUGAGACAUCUAUUAGAGAAGCUCUUGGAGCUUGUGAUGCGAAUAACUUCAUUGGCACUUUGGGUGGUUUCUGCAGAUGCUUUGCAUCUUCCUGAGGAUAUGGAUGAUAUGGUUGAUGAUGAAAGUUUGUUAUCUGAGGUUCCAGAAGAGAUGGAGGUGAAAUCAUCUCCGUUGGAGCAUGGAGACGAAAACUCCACAGUUGUGCAGGAUAAUAGGCGUUCGGAACAAACUGUAAUGGUUGGCUGCUGGCUUGCGAUGAAAGAGGUGAGUCUUCUUUUGGGAACUAUCGUAAGAAAGGUUCCUUUACCAAGUAGCCCUUCCUCAGACUCAUUACAUGUAGAAGGCACCUCUUGUGCUUCUGGAGCUUCAGUGAUGGUGGAUUCAGAUGCAAUGCUUGAUCUGAAACAACUUGAAACAAUUGGGAAUCACUUCUUGGAAGUCCUUCUUAAAAUGAAGCAUAAUGGUGCCAUUGAUAAAACAAGGGCCGGAUUUACAGCUCUUUGCAACCGUUUACUUUGCUCAAAUGAUCCUAGGCUUUGUAAGUUAACAGAAUUCUGGAUGGAGCAACUUAUGGAAAGAACUGUGGCCAAGGGUCAAGUAGUGGAUGACUUGCUAAGGAGAAGUGCAGGUAUUCCUGCAGCAUUUACAGCUCUUUUUCUCUCAGAGCCUGAAGGUGCACCUAAGAAACUUCUCCCACGGGCAUUGCGGUGGCUAAUAGAUGUUGCUAAGGAUCAAUUUGAAAAUAACAGCUCUAAUGGUGACAUGCAUAAAUUAUCAUCGACAAACUUAGACAACGGUUUUGAUUCUGUAUUGCCAUCAGAGAGAAAUAUAAGCGACAAAGUUUCAAAGAUCCGGGAUGAGGGUGUCAUUCCUACCGUGCAUGCAUUCAAUGUCCUUAGAGCUGCUUUCAAUGACACCAACCUGGCUACUGAUACAUCAGGGUUUUCUGCUGAGGCUAUGAUUAUUUCAAUUCGCUCAUUCUCCUCUCCCUACUGGGAGGUUCGGAACAGUGCUUGUCAGGCAUACACUGCUUUAGUACGUCGCAUGAUUGGAUUCCUUAAUAUCCAGAAACGGGAGUCGCAAAGGCGUGCACUAACUGGGGUCGAAUUUUUUCAUAGGUAUCCCUCAUUGCAUCCAUUUCUAUUCAAGGAACUGAAAGCUGCAACUGAGUUACUUGGGAAUGGGCCAUCUGGACAGUCUGGGUGUAAUCUGCAAGAUGCUGUGCACCCAAGCUUGUGUCCUGUGUUGAUUCUGUUAUCCAGGCUGAAGCCCUCAACUAUUGCAAGUGAGACUGGAGAUGACCUGGAUCCUUCUUUGCUCAUGCCGUUCAUUAGGAGGUGCUCAACCCAAAGUAAUCUCAGAGUUCGUGUCCUUGCAUCUAGAGCUUUAACAGGCCUUGUUUCUAAUGAGAAAUUGCCAACUGUUAUCUUUAAUAUAGUAUCAGAGUUGCCUAGCAUAGACGACCAAGCAUUAAUGACUCCUGAGUUGUCCUUACUACUUCACAAAACCAGUAGUAAUUGGAUUCAUGGAAUUCUGUUGCAGCUAAGUUCCCUCCUGGAUACAAACUGUAGAAAUCUGGCCGAUGUUUUGAAGAAAGACCAGAUUCUAGGUGACUUAUUUGAAGCUCUUCUAACUCGUUCAUGGAUCGCAAAGCCCAGAUGGUGCCCUUGUCCCAUCCUCAAUGCCUCUUUCUUAAAGGUGCUGGACCACAUGCUCAGCAUUGUGAGGACAAACCAUACCAGCAAUCAUUUUUAUGCUCUCCGCAACCUACUGUUACAGUUAUCCAAAGAAUGCUUAGAUGUAGAAGCUUCUGAUGGGUUUCCUUAUUAUGAUCCGACAAUAGCUCAACUCCGCCAACAAGCAGCAGCAUCCUAUUUCAGUUGUGUUUUUCACUCAACUGAGGAAAUGGCCGCAGAGCCUUUUCCCAUGCCUCAGAGGUAUUCUCAGAUUGAUUCAACUAAUCAGAUGAUACCUGAAACAGAGAAUGCUUUUAUAGGACUGCAGGAAAGGCUGGUGCGCUCUCUGUCUGAUCCGGAAUAUGAAGUUCGACUUGCAACAUUGAAGUGGCUACUGAAAUUCCUAAAAGCAACAGAAUCUGGUAGUGAGUCCCAUAAUUGUAGCAGCGAGGUUAUGGUCAUUCUACACUGGAUCAGAACUAAACUCCAGACCUCAUUGGUUGAUCUUUUAGAUGUGGAGAAGUAUUAUAGAUGUUCAUAUUACAUUCUGAGAAUUAUAUUCACUUGGAACGCCCUACUGUUCCAGAAGCCUCGGGAUGAAAAAUGCAGUGAAUCAGUUUCUGUUGGUAGUAUGGCAUGCGAUUCUGUGUUUCUGCUUUGGGAUAAGCUGAUAUCAUUGUACAAUCUCACAAGACACGCAAAGACUCGAGAAACACUCAUAUGCUGCAUUGGAAUCUGCAUAAAGAGGAUUGCAGGUUUAUUUACUAAUUCUGUUCUUUCUGAUGCAACUGACGACAAUGAGUCUGAUCAGUUGGCAAAAUUGGCUGCACUUCAUAGUAGAAUAUCCUUUUUCACCAAAUUAAUUAAGAAACAUAGUGCUUCAUCUCAGCCAGUAAACAUGCGAAAGGCAGCAGCAGAGUCUGUCAUAGCAUCUGGUUUGCUAGAGCAAGCUGCGUUGAUUGGUUCUACCGUGUUCAAUAGCCAAAUCCUUUUGGAAAGUUCAUGGUCUCAUUUUGAAGGAAAAGAAGCGGUUAAUAUAUAUGCUCAUCAAAUAAUAGAUAUAUGGUUCACAUGUAUCAAGCUGCUGGAGGAUGAAGAUGAUGAGAUUAGGCAAAGGCUCGCCAUGGGUAUUCAGAGGUGUUUUUCUUGCCAAAGAUCUGGAAGAAGCUCUCUUACUGGAGAAGUUCCAACUCAAGUGGAGAAAGUGAUAGAGUCAAGUUUUGAGCAUCUAACUUCCAUCUUUGGUCACUGGAUUGGGUAUUUGGAUUUUCUUUUGCGCUGUGUACUGAAUGCAGCAAGCCAUGAGGUGUCCAAAGGAGAUCUUGUGAGACAGGUAUUUGAUAAGGAAAUUGAUAAUCAUCAUGAGGAAAAGCUGUUGAUCUGCCAGCUUUGUUGUUCUCAUUUGGAGAAGCUUCCCAUUACAAAAUCUUUUGAUGUCGACAUUCCAGAGAAACAGCAGUUUAGAGAAUAUAUACGUGAUUGGAGACUGAGAUUUUCCUGCCAAUUGAUGUCGUUUGCCAAGGAUCGCAUGGAGAAACUUGGUGGAGCAGAUUGGGUUGGUGGAGUGGGCAACCAUAAGGACUCAUUUCUCCCCCUGUAUUCCAAUUUGCUUGCAUUUCAUUCCAUCUCAAACUGCAUGUUGAAUUGGCAUACAGAAGAUAGGACACAUCUACUGUCUGCUGUUGUUGAACUCGGGAGAACCAUCAGUCCAUUUCUGAGGAACCCUUUGAUCUCUAACCUGUAUUUUUCAGUACUUAAAUCUCAUGAAGAUGCUCUUGAUCUAACCAAUGAUGACCUGAUCUCCAAACUGAGAGGAGAGGAUGUAAUAUGGAAGGGGUUCAAUCCCUAUUUUCUCCUUGGUUAGAUCAGAGUUUGUGCAACUGUAAUAGCUGUGAUUCUUAUACUUUACUCAUACGAAACUUUGUUAAUUAUUGGAGAACCUCAAGGUAAGGAUUCCAGCUUCUUAUUUUCUUGCGGGGAAGGUACCAACCGAAAACGCUUUACAACUGUACCAACCGAAACGCCAUUAAAAUUACAUAACUACCCCCGCUCCGAUCCCCCCAAGUAUAAAUUGGCUGUUGAGUACCAAAAGAGAGCCUUCUUCUUCCUUUGA
This is an RNA transcript of Fragaria vesca subsp. vesca, 6753 nucleotides long. It is a transcript of the gene named thyroid adenoma-associated protein homolog, with no coding region annotated. The record is from RefSeq and is a predicted model, not a curated record. The transcript has 5 exons. Lineage: Eukaryota; Viridiplantae; Streptophyta; Magnoliopsida; Rosales; Rosaceae.